Molecule: non-coding RNA, 882 nt
Organism: Drosophila melanogaster (fruit fly)
Lineage: Eukaryota; Metazoa; Arthropoda; Insecta; Diptera; Drosophilidae
Source: Ensembl
UGUCAAAACCAAAAAUGUAGUACACCAUUAAAACCGACCAAAUGACCGUUUUCCAUGUUAUGAUGAGGUUCAAGUGUCAAGAGCUGUUAAGUGAAUAGUUUCAAUUACGAAGCCAUUAGGGAUGAAUCAUUAUUCCAAUUGGGAUCUAUACAUAGAAUUCGGCAGCAGUGAUAAACAUAUGCUGGGACCCAGAAACCGAACAAGCUUUUGGCCCACAAGGACAACAGUCGUGGGUAAUGGCUACGCUGGUAGAUGUAUGUAUGUGUCGGCGGAAUUUAUAGCUUACAGGAAGGUGUUGGCCAAGACAUCGUCGUUUGGCCAACAACUCGCAUUUGGCCAGCUGACGUGGUCCGAAUACUUCCGAAUAGCAACGAAUCGAAGGGAUUUUGGGAGGAAUCGAAGGAAUAGGAGAAUAGGAGACCGAAAUGGGGGUUUCUUGCAUGUAAUUGACAUUGGCCCCUUGCGUUUGAUUAAUUGCAUUUGGUUGAGGCUCUUCCAAGCCAUUGACUCGGAAUGCUCUGAAUUCCCCCAUUGAUCUGUAUCCGUGUCUAUGUAACCUUGUGGCCAUGUGUAGCUAGCUGCAUCCGUAAUCUGUAACCGUUUCAAUUUGUAUCUGUGUGCUUUUUGCGGGGCAAUAAAUUCGACAUGUUCGACAUGCUUUCCAAUUACUGAGCGCUGGCAUUAAACAAAUGCAGCACACUUGACACACGUCGAAAGCCGGCAGCCCUUUUCGGAGAUCGGAGUUGGAAGAUGGGUUAUCAGGAGGGAACAAGGCCAAACCUCCACGAUUCAGCGUGUCCAGCCAAGCAGGCCAAACACUUGGAAAAAUAUCACUUCGAGGAAUUUUGUUUAAAUAAGCAAAGUCCGAUUUUUGUAUUCAAU